Molecule: ribosomal RNA, 253 nt
Filed under: uncultured bacterium
Lineage: Bacteria
Description: partial 16S ribosomal RNA
Rfam family: Bacterial small subunit ribosomal RNA
Source: RNAcentral
UACGUAGGGUGCAAGCGUUAAUCGGAAUUACUGGGCGUAAAGCGUGCGCAGGCGGUUGUGCAAGACAGAUGUGAAAUCCCCGGGCUCAACCUGGGACCUGCAUUUGUGACUGCAUCGCUAGAGUACGGUAGAGGGGGAUGGAAUUCCGCGUGUAGCAGUGAAAUGCGUAGAUAUGCGGAGGAACACCGAUGGCGAAGGCAAUCCCCUGGACCUGUACUGACGCUCAUGCACGAAAGCGUGGGGAGCAAACAGG